AAUUAAUACAAAUAAAAUUUAUUAUUUAAAGUUAAAAUUUAUUAAUUAAUUUAUAAUUAAAUUUUUUAGGUUAAAUUUUAAAUUUAAAAAAUUAUUAAAAAAUAAAAAUUUUAAGCUUAAAAAUUUUUAAAAUAAACUAGGAUUAGAUACCCUAUUAUAAAAACCUUAAAUAAAAAAAAUAGAGUAGUAAUAGUUAUGUUCUUGAAACUUAAUAAAUUUGGCGGUAUUUUAAUCUAAUCAGAGGAACUUGUUUUAUAAUUGAUAAUCCUCAUUUUAUCUUACUUAGUUUAUUAGUUUGUAUACCAUCGUCAUAAGAAUCUCUUAAAAAAGGAAAAAUUUUCUAAAAAAUUAAAUAGUUAAAAUGUCAGAUCAAGGUGCAGCUUAUAAUUAAGAAAAAAUGAGUUACAAUAAAUUUAUUUAAAUGGAUUUAAAAAUGAAAUUUUUUAAUGAAAUUGGAUUUGGUAGUAAAAUAAACGAAAAAAUUUAUUUGAUAUAAGUUCUAAAAUAUGCACAUAUCGCCCGUCGCUCUCGUUAUUUAAAAUGAG
Molecule: ribosomal RNA, 545 nt
Filed under: Allodia neglecta
Lineage: Eukaryota; Metazoa; Arthropoda; Insecta; Diptera; Mycetophilidae
Description: partial 12S ribosomal RNA
Source: RNAcentral